UCUCAGCAAGCAAUAUCACAA
This 21-nucleotide unclassified non-coding RNA is filed under the name Mus musculus (house mouse). RNAcentral's name for it is "oocyte_clustered_small_RNA5829". The record is from RNAcentral. Lineage: Eukaryota; Metazoa; Chordata; Mammalia; Rodentia; Muridae.